Molecule: transfer RNA, 85 nt
Filed under: Planctomycetota bacterium
Lineage: Bacteria; Pseudomonadati; Planctomycetota
Description: Planctomycetes bacterium tRNA-Ser
Rfam family: tRNA
About the family: Transfer RNA (tRNA) molecules are approximately 80 nucleotides in length. Their secondary structure includes four short double-helical elements and three loops (D, anti-codon, and T loops).
Source: RNAcentral
GGAGAGGUGGCCGAGUGGCUGAAGGCGCCGGUCUUGAAAACCGGUGACGCGCAAGCGUCCGGGGGUUCGAAUCCCUCCCUCUCCG